RNAcentral lists this ribosomal RNA (562 nucleotides) under uncultured bacterium. RNAcentral's name for it is "bacterial SSU rRNA". It matches the Rfam family "Bacterial small subunit ribosomal RNA", at positions 338 to 916 of the family's 1533-position model. The record is from RNAcentral.
CCUACGGGAGGCAGCAGUGGGGAAUAUUGGACAAUGGGGGCAACCCUGAUCCAGCAAUUCUGUGUGCACGAAGAAGGUUUUCGGAUCGUAAAGUGCUUUCAGCAGGGAGGAAGGAAGUGACUGUACCUGCAGAAGAAGCGACGGCUAAAUACGUGCCAGCAGCCGCGGUAAUACGUAUGUCGCGAGCGUUAUCCGGAAUUAUUGGGCAUGAAGGGCAUCUAGGCGGCCGGGUAAGUCCGGGGUGAAAACUGCUGGCUCAACCAGCAGCCUGCCUUGGAAACUACCCGGCUUGAGUGCUGGAGAGGUGGACGGAACUGCACGAGUAGAGGUGAAAUUCGUAGAUAUGUGCAGGAAUGCCGAUGAUGAAGAUAGUUCACUGGACGGCAACUGACGCUGAAGUGCGAAAGCUAGGGGAGCGAACAGGAUUAGAUACCCUGGUAGUCCCAGCCGUAAACGAUGAUUACUGGGUGUGGGCAUGAAGAGUGUCCGUGCCGAAGCAAAUGCGAUAAGUAAUCCGCCUGGGGAGUACGGCCGCAAGGCUGAAACUCAAAGGAAUUGACGG